AAUCCGUGGUGUGGACAGUCUCUCGCUGGAAGAACCUAAAUCUAUUCCACGCAUCUUUGAAGGACUCUCCAGCCUCCUGCGAGAAUGUGGAAAUUUUGUUCCGAAGUU
Non-coding RNA from Brassica napus (rape), 108 nucleotides. The record is from Rfam. NCBI's taxonomy places the organism in Eukaryota, Viridiplantae, Streptophyta, Magnoliopsida, Brassicales, Brassicaceae.